GUACGCUGGCGGCACGCCUAACACAUGCAAGUCGAACGAAGUAGCAAUACUUAGUGGCAGACGGGUGAGUAACAUGUAGGUAUCUGCCCUUUGGCCUGGAAUAACACGAGGAAACUUGUGCUAAUACCGGAUAAGUCUUUACGGAGAAAGCUUUAUGCACCAUUGGAUGAGCCUGCACUUGAUUAGUUUGUUGGUAGGGUAAUGGCCUACCAAGACUGUGAUCAAUAGCUGAUUUGAGAGGAUGAUCAGCCACAUUGGGACUGAGACACGGCCCAAACUCCUACGGGAGGCAGCAGUGGGGAAUCUUGCACAAUGGAGGAAACUCUGAUGCAGCGAUGCCGCGUGAGUGAAGAAGGCCCUUGGGUUGUAAAGCUCUUUCGUCGGGGAAGAAAAUGACUGUACCCGAAUAAGAAGGUCCGGCUAA
This 424-nucleotide ribosomal RNA is filed under the name uncultured bacterium. RNAcentral's name for it is "bacterial SSU rRNA". It matches the Rfam family "Bacterial small subunit ribosomal RNA", at positions 31 to 500 of the family's 1533-position model. The record is from RNAcentral.